RNAcentral lists this ribosomal RNA (519 nucleotides) under uncultured eukaryote. Its description in RNAcentral is "bacterial SSU rRNA". It matches the Rfam family "Eukaryotic small subunit ribosomal RNA", at positions 1161 to 1700 of the family's 1831-position model. The record is from RNAcentral.
AGGGCACCACCAGGAGUGGAGCCUGCGGCUUAAUUUGACUCAACACGGGAAAACUCACCUGGCCCGGACACCGUGAGGAUUGACAGAUUGAGAGCUCUUUCUUGAUUCGGUGGUUGGUGGUGCAUGGCCGUUCUUAGUUGGUGGAGUGAUUUGUCUGGUUUAUUCCGAUAACGAACGAGACUCUAGCCUACUAAAUAGACUAUGGUUCCUUUGUGACGGAAGAACUUCUUAAAGGGACAGGGGGGGACUCACCCGCACGAAACAGAGCAAUAACAGGUCUGAGAUGCCCUUAGAUGUCCGGGGGCGCACGCGCGCUACUGUGAAAUGAUCAGCGUGGAUUAAUAAGCCUCUCCGUCAGGAGUGGGUAACCCAUUGAACCUUCUUCGUGAUUGGGAUAGGGUAUUGAAAUUCUUAGCCUUGAACGAGGAAUUCCCAGGAGACGCGAGUCAUAAGCUUGCGUUGAUUACUGCCCUGCCCUUUGUACACACCGCCCGGCGCUACUACGAAUUGAAUGAUUUA